This 1490-nucleotide ribosomal RNA is filed under the name uncultured Bordetella sp. Its description in RNAcentral is "partial 16S-23S ribosomal RNA intergenic spacer". It matches the Rfam family "Bacterial small subunit ribosomal RNA". The record is from RNAcentral. Lineage: Bacteria; Pseudomonadati; Pseudomonadota; Betaproteobacteria; Burkholderiales; Alcaligenaceae.
AGUUCGAUCCUGGCUCAGAUUGAACGCUGGCGGAUGCUUUACACAUGCAAGUCGAACGGCAGCACGGACUUCCCGGUUCAGUAUGAUAAGAACGGUGAGUAAUGUAUCGGAACGUGCCUAGUAGCGGGGAUAACUACGCGAAAGCGUAGCUAAUACCGCAUACGCUCGGGGGAAAGCGGGGACCCUCUGGGCCCUCGCCGCACUAUUAGAGCGGCCGAUAUCGGAUUAGCUUAGUUGGUGGGGUAACGGCUCACCAAGGCGACGAUCCGUAGCUGGUUUGAGGAGGGAUGACCAGCCACACUGGGACUGAGACACGGCCCAGACUCCUACGGGAGGCAGCAGUGGGGAAUUUUGGAUAAUGGGGGAAACCCUGAUCCAGCCAUCCCGCGUGUGCGAUGAAGGCCUUCGGGUUGUAAAGCACUUUUGGCAGGAAGAAACGGCACGCGGGAUAAUACCCCGUGCAACUGACGGUACUCUGCAGAAUAAGCACCGGCUAACUACGUGCCAGCAGCCGCGGUAAUACGUAGGUGCAAGCGUUAAUCGGAAUUACUGGGCGUAAAGCGUGCGCAGGCGGUUCGGAAAGAAAGAUGUGAAAUCCCAGAGCUUAACUUUAAACUGCAUUUUUAGCUACCGAGCUAGAGUGUGUCAGAGGGGAGGUGGAAUUCCGCGUGUAGCAGUGAAAUGCGUAGAUAUGCGGAGGAACACCGAUGGCGAAGGCAGCCUCCUGGGAUAACACUGACGCUCAUGCACGAAAGCGUGGGGAGCAAACAGGAUUAGAUACCCUGGGUAGUCCACGCCUCGUAAACGAUGUCAAUUAGCUGUUGGGGCCUUCGGGCCUUGGUAGCGCAGUUCUGUGCGAAGUUGACCGCCUGGGGAGUACGGUCGCAAGAUUAAAACUCAAAGGAAUUGACGGGGACCCGCACAAGCGGUGGAUGAUGUGGAUUAAUUCGAUGCAACGCGAAAAACCUUACCUACCCUUGACAUGUCUGAAUCCUGAAGAGAUUUGGGAGUGCUCGCAAGAGAACCGAACACAGGUGCCGCAUGGCUGUCGUCAGCUCGUGUCGUGAGAUGCUGGGUUAAGUCCCGCAACGAGCGCAACCCUUGUCAUUAUUACGAAAGGGCACUCUAAUGAGACUGCCGGUGACAAACCGGAGAAGGUGGGACACGUCAAGUCCUCAUGGCCUCAGGGUAGGGAAGCCACACGUCAUACAAUGGUCGGGACAGAGGGUCGCCAACCCGCGAGGGGGAGCCAAUCCCAGAAACCCGAUCGUAGUCCGGAUCGCAGUCUGCAACCUGGACUGCGUGAAGUCGGAAUCGCUAGUAAUCGCGGAUCAGCAUGUCGCGGUGAAUACGUUCCCGGCCCUGUAAAGCCACACCGCCCGUCACACCAUGGGAGUGGGUUUUACCAGGAAGUGAGCUAGCCUUGUAACUGUAAGGAGGGCGAUUACCACGGUAGGAUUCAUGACUGGGGUGAAGUCGUAACAAGGUAG